GAUGAACGCUGGCGGCGUGCCUAAUACAUGCAAGUCGAGCGAACGGACGAGAAGCUUGCUUCACUGAUGUUAGCGGCGGACGGGUGAGUAACACGUGGAUAACCUACCUAUAAGACUGGGAUAACUUCGGGAAACCGGAGCUAAUACCGGAUGAUAUUUUGAACCGCAUGGUUCAAAAGUGAAAGACGGUCUUGCUGUCACUUAUAGAUGGAUCCGCGCUGCAUUAGCUAGUUGGUAAGGUAACGGCUUACCAAGGCAACGAUGCAUAGCCAACCUGAGAGGGUGAUCGGCCACACUGGAACUGAGACACGGUCCAGACUCCUACGGGAGGCAGCAGUAGGGAAUCUUCCGCAAUGGGCGAAAGCCUGACGGAGCAACGCCGCGUGAGUGAUGAAGGUCUUCGGAUCGUAAAACUCUGUUAUUAGGGAAGAACAUAUGUGUAAGUAACUGUGCACAUCUUGACGGUACCUAAUCAGAAAGCCACGGCUAACUACGUG
RNAcentral lists this ribosomal RNA (497 nucleotides) under uncultured bacterium. RNAcentral's name for it is "partial 16S ribosomal RNA". It matches the Rfam family "Bacterial small subunit ribosomal RNA", at positions 28 to 507 of the family's 1533-position model. The record is from RNAcentral.